AUUGAACGCUGGCGGAAUGCUUUACACAUGCAAGUCGAACGGCAGCACGGGGGCAACCCUGGUGGCGAGUGGCGAACGGGUGAGUAAUACAUCGGAACGUGCCCAGUCGUGGGGGAUAACUACGCGAAAGCGUAGCUAAUACCGCAUACGAUCUACGGAUGAAAGCGGGGAUCGCAAGACCUCGCGCGAUUGGAGCGGCCGAUGGCAGAUUAGGUAGUUGGGAGGUAAAGGCUCACCAAGCCUUCGAUCUGUAGCUGGUCUGAGAGGACGACCAGCCACGCUGGGACUGAGACACGGCCCAGACUCCUACGGGAGGCAGCAGU
This 323-nucleotide ribosomal RNA is filed under the name uncultured bacterium. RNAcentral describes it as "bacterial SSU rRNA". It matches the Rfam family "Bacterial small subunit ribosomal RNA", at positions 30 to 355 of the family's 1533-position model. The record is from RNAcentral.